GGGGGUAUAACUCAGUGGUAGAGCACGUGCUUAGCAUGCACAAGGUCCUGGGUUCAAUCCCCAGUACCUCCA
This is a non-coding RNA of Fukomys damarensis (Damara mole-rat), 72 nucleotides long. Lineage: Eukaryota; Metazoa; Chordata; Mammalia; Rodentia; Bathyergidae. The record is from Rfam.